This 647-nucleotide ribosomal RNA is filed under the name uncultured bacterium. RNAcentral's name for it is "bacterial SSU rRNA". It matches the Rfam family "Bacterial small subunit ribosomal RNA", at positions 498 to 1138 of the family's 1533-position model. The record is from RNAcentral.
AGACUGCAGUGCCAGCAGCCGCGGUAAUACGGAGGGUGCAAGCGUUGUUCGGAAUUAUUGGGCGUAAAGCGUGCGUAGGCGGAUUGUUAAGUCUGGUGUGAAAUCCCUCGGCUCAACCGAGGACGUGCAUUGGAUACUGGCAGUCUUGAGUCCUGGAGAGGAGAGCGGAAUUCCUAGUGUAGAGGUGAAAUUCGUAGAUAUUAGGAGGAACACCAGCGGCGAAAGCGGCUCUCUGGACAGUGACUGACGCUGAGGCACGAAAGCAUAGGUAGCAAACAGGAUUAGAUACCCUGGUAGUCUAUGCCGUAAACGAUGGGUACUAGUCGGUGCGGGUAUUGACCCCUGCGCUGACGAAGCUAACGCAUUAAGUACCCCGCCUGGGGAGUACGGCCGCAAGGCUAAAACUCAAAGGAAUUGACGGGGGCCCGCACAAGCGGUGGAGCAUGUGAUUAAUUCGACGCAACGCGCAGAACCUUACCUAGCCUUGACAUGGUUAGCGUACGGCCCCAAAAGGGUCCGACCUUCGGGAACGGCUUACCCAGGUGCUGCAUGGCUGGUCGUCAGCUCGUGUCCUGGAAAUGUUGGGUUAAGGUCCUGGCAACGAAGCCGCACCGCCUAUCCUUAAGUUACCAAGCGAUUCCCGGUCG